This 1122-nucleotide long non-coding RNA is filed under the name Phoenix dactylifera (date palm). Its description in RNAcentral is "long non-coding RNA (PDAC_LNC015832)". Lineage: Eukaryota; Viridiplantae; Streptophyta; Magnoliopsida; Arecales; Arecaceae. The record is from RNAcentral.
AUAUAGAAAGACACCGAAAAUUGCGAGAAAAAAAAAACAUGACAACGACUACUUAACAAACCCAACAUGUAUCCAAAGUAGGACUAUUCACACUAAUUGUAAAACCUAGUUUAAAAAAUUACCGGAAUAAAAGAACCAAAAAUGCAAUAAAUCUAAACUAGUUUUUUUUUUAAUUCAUCAAUCUUCAACUUCAAUAAGAUGGAACUGGAAAUGUUGAUUCAGUAACAACUAAAGCAUUCAUCGCAAGAGCACCCGCACAAACUUCUGGUAUGACAAGAUAUUGAAGAAGGCAUAAGUAAUCAUUAUCGAAUCUUCAUCUUCAGUGUUCCAUUGGACAGCUGCAUCUUAUUAUUAUUCAGUGUCAUAAUGUUUGUCAAAUGCUGAUUCCUUCAGAAAACUCUGGCAUGCAUGCCCAGAUACAUGUGUCUUACAUCUGUUGUUAUUAAGUGUGCAUGUAAUCCACCAAAUUCAUGCACAAAUUCUGGUCUGUGUGUAUGCAUACAAAUAUAUACAUAAUUACAUGCAUAUGUUAAUGUACCUAUGUAUGAUUAAGCGGCCACUUCAUCUUGAUUUCAUUCAUCAUGGAUUCUGAUCUUUGUUUGUUUUAGUUAGCUAUCAUGUAUUCUUUUGUUUACACAAAGAGAUGAAAAGUAAGAAAGGGCAAAGAAAACAAGCAAUCAAAGGGACAGAUAAGUAGGACUUUGGAAGUGUAAAGAACCACUUGACCAUAGAAUUAUCUUUCAGAGAUGAAAGGAAGGUAAGGCACAGGAAACAAGCAAUCAAAGGGUCAGAUUUGUUGCAUUUUCUGCUGCCAAAAGAGCUGCGUGACAACUGAAACUAUCUUCCAGAUGGACCAUUCUGCUCCAGAAUGCACAUGCAAAUCCAUACUUUCAUGCUCCAAAAGGAUAGACAUACUGCCUGCAAGGGUGGGAGCUUCCAUCAGUUACAUGACGCAUUUGAUCUUUGAUUGGUCAGGGCUAACUGGUUUCUAGGCUAAAGUUUUUAACUUUUGUUUUGUCAUAUUAUUGUUGGUUAAAUAAUCUUGCUCUUGCUUCUCCUAUUAUUAAGAGUAAAAGACAUCAAAGCAUGACCACUUCUACAUACAAUCUGCCAAUUAUAUUG